AACGCGAAGAACCUUACCUGCCCUUGACAUCCCGGUGACCACAGAGUAAUGUCUGUUUUCCUUCGGGACACCGGUGACAGGUGGUGCAUGGUUGUCGUCAGCUCGUGUCGUGAGAUGUUGGGUUAAGUCCCGCAACGAGCGCAACCCUUAUCUUCAGUAGCCAGCGGUACGGCCGGGCACUCUGGAGAGACUGCCAGGGAUAACCUGGAGGAAGGUGGGGAUGACGUCAAAUCAUCAUGCCCCUUAUGGGCAGGGCUACACACGUGCUACAAUGGCGUAAACAAAGGGAGGCAGAGCCGCGAGGCCGAGCAAAUCUCAAAAAUAACGUCUCAGUUCGGAUUGUAGUCUGCAACUCGACUACAUGAAGCUGGAAUCGCUAGUAAUCGCGAAUCAGAAUGUCGCGGUGAAUACGUUCCCGGGUCUUGUACACACCG
RNAcentral lists this ribosomal RNA (434 nucleotides) under uncultured bacterium. Its description in RNAcentral is "bacterial SSU rRNA". It matches the Rfam family "Bacterial small subunit ribosomal RNA", at positions 958 to 1392 of the family's 1533-position model. The record is from RNAcentral.